This 542-nucleotide ribosomal RNA is filed under the name Rucervus duvaucelii (barasingha). RNAcentral describes it as "partial 16S ribosomal RNA". It matches the Rfam family "Bacterial large subunit ribosomal RNA", at positions 1857 to 2622 of the family's 2925-position model. Lineage: Eukaryota; Metazoa; Chordata; Mammalia; Artiodactyla; Cervidae. The record is from RNAcentral.
GCCUGCCCAGUGACGACCGUUAAACGGCCGCGGUAUCCUGACCGUGCAAAGGUAGCAUAAUCACUUGUUCCCUAAAUAGGGACUUGUAUGAAUGGCCACACGAGGGUUUUACUGUCUCUUACUUCCAAUCAGUGAAAUUGACCUUCCCGUGAAGAGGCGGGAAUACAUUAAUAAGACGAGAAGACCCUAUGGAGCUUUAACUACUUGGCCCAAAAGAAAUAAAUUUCAUUGCUAAGGAAACAACAAUACUCUUUAUGGGCUAACAGCUUUGGUUGGGGUGACCUCGGAGAACAAAAAAUCCUCCGAGCGAUUUUAAAGACUAGACCCACAAGUCGAAUCACACAAUCGCUUAUUGAUCCAAAAAAUUGAUCAACGGAACAAGUUACCCUAGGGAUAACAGCGCAAUCCUAUUCAAGAGUCCAUAUCGACAAUAGGGUUUACGACCUCGAUGUUGGAUCAGGACAUCCCGAUGGUGCAACCGCUAUCAAAGGUUCGUUUGUUCAACGAUUAAAGUCCUACGUGAUCUGAGUUCAAACCGGAGA